This 741-nucleotide ribosomal RNA is filed under the name Vreelandella aquamarina. Its description in RNAcentral is "bacterial SSU rRNA". It matches the Rfam family "Bacterial small subunit ribosomal RNA", at positions 66 to 804 of the family's 1533-position model. Lineage: Bacteria; Pseudomonadati; Pseudomonadota; Gammaproteobacteria; Oceanospirillales; Halomonadaceae. The record is from RNAcentral.
GCGGUAACAGAUCCAGCUUGCUGGAUGCUGACGAGCGGCGGACGGGUGAGUAAUGCAUAGGAAUCUGCCCGAUAGUGGGGGAUAACCUGGGGAAACCCAGGCUAAUACCGCAUACGUCCUACGGGAGAAAGGGGGCUCCGGCUCCCGCUAUGGGAUGAGCCUAUGUCGGAUUAGCUAGUUGGUGAGGUAACGGCUCACCAAGGCCACGAUCCGUAGCUGGUCUGAGAGGAUGAUCAGCCACAUCGGGACUGAGACACGGCCCGAACUCCUACGGGAGGCAGCAGUGGGGAAUAUUGGACAAUGGGGGAAACCCUGAUCCAGCCAUGCCGCGUGUGUGAAGAAGGCCCUCGGGUUGUAAAGCACUUUCAGCGAGGAAGAACGCCUAGCGGUUAAUACCCGCUAGGAAAGACAUCACUCGCAGAAGAAGCACCGGCUAACUCCGUGCCAGCAGCCGCGGUAAUACGGAGGGUGCAAGCGUUAAUCGGAAUUACUGGGCGUAAAGCGCGCGUAGGUGGCUUGAUAAGCCGGUUGUGAAAGCCCCGGGCUCAACCUGGGAACGGCAUCCGGAACUGUCAAGCUAGAGUGCAGGAGAGGAAGGUAGAAUUCCCGGUGUAGCGGUGAAAUGCGUAGAGAUCGGGAGGAAUACCAGUGGCGAAAGCGGCCUUCUGGACUGACACUGACACUGAGGUGCGAAAGCGUGGGUAGCAAACAGGAUUAGAUACCCUGGUAGUCCACGCCGUA